CCCAUUUUUUCCUCCUUUUCCUCCAUUUUUCCAAAUUUUCCCCAUUUUUCCCUAUUUUUUCCUCAAUUUCCCCCCAAUUUUCCUCUUUUUCCCCAUUUUCCCCAUUUUUCCCCCAAUUUUUCCUCCGUUUUUCCCAAUUUCUCCCAUUUUUUCCCUCCAUUUUCCCCUCAAUUUUUCCCCCAUUUUUCCCAAUUUUCCUUGGUUUUUUCCACCACUUUUUCCCCAUUUCCCCCCCCCAUUUUCCCUCAAUUUUUUCCUCAAUUUUUCCUCCCCAUUUUUUCCCCAUUUUCCCCCCAUUUUUCUCCACUUUUUCCUCCAUUUUCCCCUCAAAAAUUUCCUCAAUUUUCCCCCAAUUUUCCCCCCAUUUUUCCUCCAUUUUUUCUCCCAUUUUUCCCCACUUCUUCCCCACUUUUUCCUCCAUUUUCCCCUCAAAUUUUUCCUCAAUUUUUCCCAACUUCCCCCAUUUUUUUCCUCAAUUUUUUCCUUCCAUUUUUUUCCCAAUUUUUCCCAUUUUUCCUCCACUUUUUCCCCAUUUUUCCCUCAAUUUUUUCCCAUUUUCCCUCCAUUUUUUCCUCCAUUUUUCCCAAUUUUCCCCAUUUUUUCUUCCAAUUUGUCCCUCCAAUUUUUUUCCUAUUUUUCCCCAUUUUCCCCCCACUUUUCCCCCAUUUUCCCCUCAAAUUUUCCCUCAAUUUUUCCCAAUUUCCCCCAUUUCUUCCUCCAUUUUUUUCCAUUUUUUCCCCAUUUUUCCCCAUUUGCCCCCAUUUUUUUCCCCAUUUUCCCUCAAUUUUUCCCUCUUUUUUCCCCCAUUUUCCCCCCAUUUUCCCUCAAUUUUUCCCUUUUUUCCCCCAUUUUUCCCCCCAUUUUUUUCCCAUUUUUUCCCCCAUUUUUUUCCCCAUUUUUUUCCUCCAUUUUUUCCUCCAUUUUUUUCCCAUUUUUUUCNNNNNNNNNNNNNNNNNNNNCUCCAUUUUUCCCAAUUUCCCCCCAUUUUUUCCCCCAUUUUCCCUCAAUUUUUUCCUCCCUUUUCCCCAUUUUUCCCCAUUUUUCCCCCCUCCAGGAUUCCCCCCCACCCCAAAGAAUCCACUCAGAAUUGCGAAAUUAAGAAUUUUUAUCCCAAAUCUGCAGCGCUGCAGAAUUCCAGCUUUUCUUGGGUUUUUUUUUUUCCUCUUUUUGGUUUUUUUGGGAAUCCCAAAAUCCUGAGGGAGUUCCCAGCUGGAAUCACAACCAAAAAAAAAUUAAAAAUUCCCAAGAUUUUCUUCUUUUUUUCCUUUUUUUUUUUUUUUUUUUUUUUGUUUUUUUUUUUUUUUUUUUUUUUNNNNNNNNNNNNNNNNNNNNAAAGUCUCGGAUCCAACGCCGGGAAAACCCAAAAGAAAAAAAACUUUCAAAAAAUCCCAAACUUGGAAAAAAUCCCCCCAAAAAUUAAAAAAAAAAUUAAAAUUUAAAAAACAAAAUUUAAAAAAAAAUUAAAAAAAAAUUUAAAAAAUUCCCCACCCAAAAAAAAAAAAANNNNNNNNNNNNNNNNNNNNNNAAAAAAAAAAAAAAACCCU
Molecule: long non-coding RNA, 1544 nt
Filed under: Serinus canaria (Common canary)
Lineage: Eukaryota; Metazoa; Chordata; Aves; Passeriformes; Fringillidae
Description: lncRNA (ENSSCAG00000007343.1)
Source: RNAcentral